Molecule: ribosomal RNA, 517 nt
Filed under: uncultured fungus
Lineage: Eukaryota; Fungi
Description: SSU rRNA
Rfam family: Eukaryotic small subunit ribosomal RNA
Source: RNAcentral
AUUAAAAACCAAUGCCCUUCGGGGCUCCUUGGUGAUUCAUGAUAACUUCGCGAAUCGCAUGGCCUUGCGCCGGCGAUGGUUCAUUCAAAUUUCUUCCCUAUCAACUUUCGAUGUUUGGGUAUUGGCCAAACAUGGUUGCAACGGGUAACGGAGGGUUAGGGCUCGACCCCGGAGAAGGAGCCUGAGAAACGGCUACUACAUCCAAGGAAGGCAGCAGGCGCGCAAAUUACCCAAUCCCGACACGGGGAGGUAGUGACAAUAAAUACUGAUACAGGGCUCUUUAGGGUCUUGUAAUUGGAAUGAGUACAAUUUAAAUCCCUUAACGAGGAACAAUUGGAGGGCAAGUCUGGUGCCAGCAGCCGCGGUAAUUCCAGCUCCAAUAGCGUAUAUUAAAGUUGUUGUGGUUAAAAAGCUCGUAGUUGAACCUUGGGCCUGGCUGGCCGGUCCGCCUCACCGCGUGCACUGGUCCGGCCGGGCCUUUCCCUCUGUGGACCCCAUGCCCUUCACUGGGUGUGGC